UGGAGCGUCGUCUAACGGCAGGACAAGAGAUUUUGGUUCUCUUUAUCGGGGUUCGAAUCCCUGCGCUCCAACCA
This 74-nucleotide transfer RNA is filed under the name Rickettsiales bacterium. RNAcentral describes it as "tRNA-Gln". It matches the Rfam family "tRNA". From Rfam's summary of the family: Transfer RNA (tRNA) molecules are approximately 80 nucleotides in length. Their secondary structure includes four short double-helical elements and three loops (D, anti-codon, and T loops). Lineage: Bacteria; Pseudomonadati; Pseudomonadota; Alphaproteobacteria; Rickettsiales. The record is from RNAcentral.